GAUGAACGCUGGCGGCGUGCCUAAUACAUGCAAGUCGAGCGAACAGACGAGGAGCUUGCUCCUCUGACGUUAGCGGCGGACGGGUGAGUAACACGUGGAUAACCUACCUAUAAUACUGGGAUAACUUCGGGAAACCGGAGCUAAUACCGGAUAAUAUAUUGAACCGCAUGGUUCAAUAGUUAAAGACGGUUUUGCUGUCACUUAUAGAUGGAUCCGCGCCGCAUUAGCUAGUUGGUAAGGUAACGGCUUACCAAGGCAACGAUGCGUAGCCGACCUGAGAGGGUGAUCGGCCACACUGGAACUGAGACACGGUCCAGACUCCUACGGGAGGCAGCAGUAGGGAAUCUUCCGCAAAGGGCGAAAGCCUGACGGAGCAACGCCGCGUGAGUGAUGAAGGUCUUCGGAUCGUAAAACUCUGUUAUUAGGGAAGAACAAAUGUGUAAGUAACUAUGCACGUCUUGACGGUACCUAAUCAGAAAGCCACGGCUAACUUCGUG
This 497-nucleotide ribosomal RNA is filed under the name uncultured bacterium. Its description in RNAcentral is "partial 16S ribosomal RNA". It matches the Rfam family "Bacterial small subunit ribosomal RNA", at positions 28 to 507 of the family's 1533-position model. The record is from RNAcentral.